Molecule: microRNA, 22 nt
Filed under: Picea abies (Norway spruce)
Lineage: Eukaryota; Viridiplantae; Streptophyta; Pinopsida; Pinales; Pinaceae
Description: pab-miR3693
Source: miRBase by way of RNAcentral
AGAGGGUGCUCAUGAACUGCUC